Molecule: ribosomal RNA, 253 nt
Filed under: uncultured bacterium
Lineage: Bacteria
Description: partial 16S ribosomal RNA
Rfam family: Bacterial small subunit ribosomal RNA
Source: RNAcentral
UACGUAGGGUGCGAGCGUUGUCCGGAAUUAUUGGGCGUAAAGAGCUCGUAGGCGGUUUGUUGCGUCGGCCGUGAAAACCUGCAGCUUAACUGUGGGCCUGCGGCCGAUACGGGCAGACUUGAGUUCGGUAGGGGAGACUGGAAUUCCUGGUGUAGCGGUGAAAUGCGCAGAUAUCAGGAGGAACACCGGUGGCGAAGGCGGUUCUCUGGGACGGUACUGACGCUGAGACGCGAAAGCGUGGGGAGCGAACAGG